UAUAUGCAAAACUAUGUACAAAAGUGGGACUUAUUUGUUAUUAUUUGUAGUAAAAUUAAUUGGACAUUGCUUUACAUUUGGAUCAAUUUCAACAUUUUAAGAGUAAAUAGUAAUUACUAGUUUUAUAGCAUAUUACAUACAGUAGAUUUCAGGUAUUGUUUUACCUUUUUGGCGCCCCCUAAAGGCCGGGGCGCCCUUAGCAUCAGCCAAUAUUGCCUAAUGCAAUUACAGUAGCCGCUCGCUACAUCGCGGUUCAAAUAUCGCUCGCAUAUUCUAUCACGUUUUAAAAAAAAAUGUAUUAGUAAAUAAUGCGUUCCGUGGUGGACUGUGGUCAAAAAAUACUGAAAGUUAAUGUAGUAUUCUGGCCACUAGGCGUCAGUAAUGACACAAAACAUUGAUGAGACGUGUUGUUACAUUGUUGCAUGUGGUCAGCCAUGGCAUGUCCGACAUGAAAAAAAAGUCCUCCUCCUAUUCCGAGUGAAAGUGCGAGCCAAUGAAGAACAAGCUGCGGGCCGCAAAUGACCCCCUGGCCACACUUUGGCCCCCCAUGAGAAAGCAGCCAACAACCAAAAACAGAUUUUGAAGCACGCUAGACGAUGAAAGGACCCUCAACAUCUCGACUGUGACCUUGACCUCCAAAUGUCUCUAAUUAAGCAUUGUGCUCCUUUCAGUGUGAAAUGUUCAGCUGAUACCAUUUGACGACCAAUUAAAAACCUCUCCCAGCCCCGCCCCCAUUUACUGUUUACAGCCU
Long non-coding RNA from Dunckerocampus dactyliophorus (ringed pipefish), 751 nucleotides. RefSeq lists it as uncharacterized. The transcript is spliced from 3 exons. The record is from RefSeq and is a predicted model, not a curated record. Lineage: Eukaryota; Metazoa; Chordata; Actinopteri; Syngnathiformes; Syngnathidae.